UCCGAUCACUAUAAAUAAAUUCUGUUAUAGGAAUUCGACGAUCCGGUCAUUACGUCACGUUUAUCGUCGUGACGAAGCUUCUACACACGCAGCGGAUGGGAAAAGGCGGAUACCAUUUCGAAACGCACGAUGGUGAACGGGGCUGGCAUUUUGCCUUCGACGGAGUUCGAUUUCCAUAUGUGCACCAGCAACCAUCGCAUUACUUCCAGUGCGACGGUAACCGCUUUGACUCGAACGAGAUCCAUUGUAGGCCCGGCAGGUCAUGCUGAAUUUGAUCCAGUGCAUUCUGCAACAAAAUUACGUUCCGUAGAAUGGAGAAAACAAAAAACAAAUCUAACAGAAAAUUUAACGGAAAUCAACAUUCAUCGCAAAUCAAACGUAGAUUGGAUCGAGUCACUAUUGAUGCGUCGCAGCAUCAGCCGUACAAAUUCGACAAUUAUUCGAAUCUGUUCCCGCACGGCGAAUAUAAAUUAUGUCGCUAAUGAAACUGAAUUCGGUUGCGCUGACGCUGUCGGCUUCAUCGACAUGCUGAAAGGCCUGCAAUAAGGUAGUAAACAUCAAGGCGGAGGAGUCAGCUCUAAACGAAUUCUUCAGUUGGCUGGAGUAAAAACGACUCGAAGAGAAAAGGUCCGAUCACGUUUUGCUUAUCUACCACGAGUAGAUGAAAAGAUACAACCUGUUGAACGGGUUUCCCGCAAUGGUCAAAUUGAGCCGGAGAAAAUAUUUCUCUAACUGACAUUGCAGUGCAGUUCUUACUGGACGGGAGUAACGUGUCUGUUGGACCUGGUUGGAUAACAAUCUGGUACGACCACUGGUGAGUGACGACACAGAACAUCCGCAACAAUCCGAUGUAGGCCGUGUGCCAAUCGGCGACAAGCAGUCUUUCUAGUCGAAAUCUUUGCCGAACAACGUAUAGCAGCAUUGCCUAAACUUCCCGUACCAGCAACUAGAUUGAAGGAAUUUGACGAUCCGGUCGUUACGUCAUGUUUAUCGUCGUGACGAAGCAUCUACUCACGCAGCGGAUGGGAAAAGGCGGGUACCAUUUCGAAAAGCACGAUGGUGGACGGUGCUAGAAUUUUUGCCCUUGACGGAGCUCAAUUUCUAUGUGUUCACCAACAACUAUCGCAUUACUUCCAGUGCGACGGUAACCGCUUUAACUCGUCGCUGAUGAACCUGAAUUUGGUUGCGCUGACGCUGUCGCCUUCUUCGAUAUGCUGAAAGGCCUGCAAUAAGGUAGUAAACAGAAAUGCGUAGGAGUCAGCUCUAAACGAAUUCUUCAUUUGGCUGGAGUAAAAACGACUCGAAGAUGAAGGUCCUAUCACGUUUUGCUUAUCUACCACGAAUAGUGCAAAUUUGUCUCGCACAUGGUGUUCAAGGCACUGUACAACCUGUGAAAUGGGUUUCCCGCAACGGUCAAAUUGAGCCGAAGAAAAUAUUUCUCUAACUGACAUUGCAGUGCAGUUGUUACUGGACGGGAGUAACGCGUCUGUUGGACCUGAUUGGAUAACAAUCUGGCACGACCACUGGUGAGUGACUACACAGAACAUCUGCAACAAUCCUAUGUAGGCCGUGUGCCAAUCGGCGACAAGCAGUUUUUCGGGUCGAAAUCUUGGCCGAACAACGUAUAGCAGCAUUGCCUAAACUUCCCGUACCAGCAACUAGCAUCUACAUACGCAGCCGGCGGGAAAAACGGAUUACAUUGGGAAACGCACGAUGGUAAACGGUGCUGGUAUUAUGCACUCAACGGAGUUCGCUUUCCAUAUUUGCAUCAGACCAGCACCGUAGCAUUGCUUCCAGUGCGACGAUAAUUAUGCUUUUUAUAUUCUUUUUAUGCUUGGAAAGCGCAAUUGUUGAAUAUAAAAUGUAAAUAAAACAGAUUGCAUCAACUGGUUUAAUUUUUUUUAAUGAAAAAUGAAUAAAAAGAAAUCUGACGGAUCAGAAAGAAGAAGAAGAGUGCCAAAAUAGUGAGCACGACGGUGUCCGAUUCUCUAUAGCUUGACAUCGGAGCUACGUAGCUCUUAUAUCGCCUGACGAUUUUGAAAACUUCGAAGCCCGACAGUCCGAUUUCGAUGGUGCAAAACAGCACGAUAUAGUUCUUAUAUAAA
This is a long non-coding RNA of Topomyia yanbarensis, 2105 nucleotides long. RefSeq lists it as uncharacterized. NCBI's taxonomy places the organism in Eukaryota, Metazoa, Arthropoda, Insecta, Diptera, Culicidae. The transcript has 4 exons. The record is from RefSeq and is a predicted model, not a curated record.